CCUACGGGUGGCAGCAGUAGGGAAUAUUGCUCAAUGGGGGAAACCCUGAAGCAGCAACGCCGCGUGGAGGAUGAAGGUUUUCGGAUUGUAAACUCCUUUUGUUAGAGAAGAUAAUGACGGUAUCUAACGAAUAAGCACCGGCUAACUCCGUGCCAGCAGCCGCGGUAAUACGGAGGGUGCAAGCGUUACUCGGAAUCACUGGGCAGAAAGAGCGCGUAGGCGGGAUAGCAAGUCAGAUGUGAAAUCCUAUGGCUUAACCAUAGAACUGCAUUUGAAACUGUUAUUCUAGAGUAUGGGAGAGGUAGGUGGAAUUCUUGGUGUAGGAGUAAAAUCCGUAGAGAUCAGGAGGAAUACUCAUUGCGAAGGCGACCUGCUGGAACAUAACUGACGCUGAUGCGCGAAAGCGUGGGGAGCAAACAGGAUUAGAUACCCUUGUAGUC
This 440-nucleotide ribosomal RNA is filed under the name uncultured bacterium. RNAcentral's name for it is "partial 16S ribosomal RNA". It matches the Rfam family "Bacterial small subunit ribosomal RNA", at positions 338 to 795 of the family's 1533-position model. The record is from RNAcentral.